UACGGGGGGGGCAAGCGUUGUUCGGAAUUACUGGGCGUAAAGGGCUCGUAGGCGGCCAACUAAGUCAGACGUGAAAUCCCUCGGCUUAACCGGGGAACUGCGUCUGAUACUGAAUGGCUUGAGUUCGGGAGAGGGAUGCGGAAUUCCAGGUGUAGCGGUGAAAUGCGUAGAUAUCUGGAGGAACACCGGUGGCGAAGGCGGCAUCCUGGACCAACACUGACACUGAGGAGCGAAAGCCAGGGGAGCAAACGGG
Molecule: ribosomal RNA, 253 nt
Filed under: uncultured bacterium
Lineage: Bacteria
Description: partial 16S ribosomal RNA
Rfam family: Bacterial small subunit ribosomal RNA
Source: RNAcentral